This 118-nucleotide non-coding RNA is filed under the name Otus sunia (Oriental scops-owl). Lineage: Eukaryota; Metazoa; Chordata; Aves; Strigiformes; Strigidae. The record is from RNAcentral.
UGGAAAUAUGAAAUAACAGCAGGACAGCACUCCCGUUGGUUAGGAUGGAAGAAGUCCUAAUGGACUUAACCAUGUUUGAGACUGUCCCUUACUUUGUGGCAUCUAACGUAUAUCCUGG